RNAcentral lists this ribosomal RNA (467 nucleotides) under uncultured bacterium. RNAcentral describes it as "partial 16S ribosomal RNA". It matches the Rfam family "Bacterial small subunit ribosomal RNA", at positions 28 to 507 of the family's 1533-position model. The record is from RNAcentral.
GACGAACGCUGGCGGCGUGCUUAACACAUGCAAGUCGAACGGAAAGGCUCCAGCUUGCUGGAGUACUCGAGUGGCGAACGGGUGAGUAACACGUGGGUAAUCUGCCCUGCACUCUGGGAUAAGCCUGGGAAACUGGGUCUAAUACUGGAUAUGACCUUUCUCCUUAUGGGGUUUGGUGGAAAGUUUUUCGGUGUAGGAUGAGCCCGCGGCCUAUCAGCUUGUUGGUGGGGUGAUGGCCUACCAAGGCGACGACGGGUAGCCGGCCUGAGAGGGUGAUCGGCCACAUUGGGUCUGAGAUACGGCCCAGACUCCUACGGGAGGCAGCAGUGGGGAAUAUUGCACAAUGGGCGGAAGCCUGAUGCAGCGACGCCGCGUGAGGGAUGACGGCCUUCGGGUUGUAAACCUCUUUCAGCAGGGACGAAGCGUAAGUGACGGUACCUGCAGAAGAAGCACCGGCUAACUAUGUG